CCCUAGAAAAUUAUUGUAAUUUUUUUAUUAUUAUUGUAUUUAAAUUAUGUCUUUAAAUUAUUGUAAUGUAGAAUUUUAAUUUUAAUAAAAUAUGAAUUUUAAAAAUAAAAGUGUAGAAAUAUGAAUUUUGUGGAAAUGGAGAUCUAAGCACCCACCUAAGACACAAUGCAUUGGAGAGGGGUGUGUCUUAGGUGGGGCCCACUCCUAAGACACCACCAUUGUGGAUGCUC
Molecule: long non-coding RNA, 230 nt
Filed under: Salvia miltiorrhiza (redroot sage)
Lineage: Eukaryota; Viridiplantae; Streptophyta; Magnoliopsida; Lamiales; Lamiaceae
Description: long non-coding RNA (SMIL_LNC002566)
Source: RNAcentral